Molecule: ribosomal RNA, 497 nt
Filed under: uncultured bacterium
Lineage: Bacteria
Description: partial 16S ribosomal RNA
Rfam family: Bacterial small subunit ribosomal RNA
Source: RNAcentral
GAUGAACGCUGGCGGCGUGCCUAAUACAUGCAAGUCGAGCGGGCGGACGUGAAUCUUGCUUCUCUGAUGUUAGCGGCGGAUGGGUGAGUAGCACGUGGAUAACCUACCUAUAAGACUGGGAUACCUUCGGGAAACCGUAGCUAGUACCGGCUAAUAUUUUGAACAGCAUGGUUCAAAAGUGACAGACGGUCUUGCUGUCACUAUUAUAUGGAUCCGCGGUGCAUUAGUUAGUUGGUAAGGUAACGACUUACCAAGGCAACGCUGCAUAGCCGACCUGAGAGGUGGAUCGGCCACACUGGAACUGAGACACGGUCCAGACUCCUACGGGAGGCAGCAGUAGGGAAUCUUCCGCAAUGGGCGAAAGCCAGACGGAGCAACGCCGCGUGAGUGAUGAAGGUCUUCGGAUCGUAAAACUCUGUUAUUAGGGAAGAACAUAUGUGUAAGUAACUGUGCACAUCUUGACGGUACCUAAUCAGAAAGCCACGGCUAACUACGUG